This 84-nucleotide transfer RNA is filed under the name Parachlamydia acanthamoebae. RNAcentral's name for it is "tRNA-Leu". It matches the Rfam family "tRNA". Rfam says of the family: Transfer RNA (tRNA) molecules are approximately 80 nucleotides in length. The record is from RNAcentral. RNAcentral also lists the same sequence under 3 other names. Lineage: Bacteria; Pseudomonadati; Chlamydiota; Chlamydiia; Parachlamydiales; Parachlamydiaceae.
GCGGAAGUGGCGGAAUUGGUAUACGCGCUACCUUGAGGUGGUAGUGAGAGUAAUCUCGUGGGGGUUCAAGUCCCCCCUUUCGCA